GUGGGAUCUGUGACCAGGCAGAUCACUUGUUUAUUCUUAGCAUUUGGAUUUCACUGACAUUCCUGUCAUGUAGAAAAAUAGAAAUAUCUUUGCAUUGAUUCAGCUAAACUAACUGCAGACACUGAGAGGCGUAAAGUUCAACAAAUGCUGUUUUUAUUUACUUCACUGGUGACAUCAGUAGAUGCUUGCAGUGAAACCACCACUGCAAAUAUUUAUGCAUUUAAGUAUCACAACUGAAAACUCCCUACAAACGUCCACUUCUAACACCACAAACAUUGUCCAGAGGAAAUGAUAUUAGCUGAACAUAAAAACAUGUAAAACAGGUCUGAUGCUUUCAUCCUGAGCUCCACUCAAACAUUUCACUGUGCAGCAGCUCAGCAGUUUGUUUAAGAAAAGCAUUUAGGUUCAAUCUGUGAAGCCCAAAACCACCAGCUGUUGUCUUUAAAAAAUGACACCGUUUACCAGAGUCACAAACUGUAAAAACAGAAGGAAUUGUUGGAUUUUCUAUGUGAAUGUGUCGCCUCUCUAGUUAACUCACCCGGUUACGUCUCCAUCCUGACGCUGCUCUGCUGGACCGGAGCUUCUGGACCAGCCGGGUGGACCUUCCUUCACAGAUCUUCCCGGUGGGAGUGAUUCUGAGUCGGCCUUGGUUGACUGCAAACUCCUUAAAAUGGACACAUGAGAGGAAAUCGUGGACAAAUCUACACAACGACUUGUUUGCUGAUACCCUGACUUCAUGGAGGAGUUACUUCAUGGGUGAUCUGAACUACUGGGAGCAGGCUUGAUUGAACAGUCUGACUGCUGCAGGAAGGAAGGACCUCCUUCAAACAUCGUGGGUGAAGCAGUCUGUCCCUGAAGGAGCUGCCGGUGAUGGUCCUGUUUCCUGCAGGGGGUGGGAGAUGUCCUCCAUGAUAGACAACAGCUUUGUCAUCAUCCUCCUGUCUACCACCAGCCCAGGACAGAGCUUGCUUUCUUAACCAGUUUCUUUAGUCUCUUCCUGUCUGCAGCCGUGAUGCUGCUGCUCCAGCAGACCAGUCCAUACAGGAUGGCUGAUACCACCACACAACCAUAAAAGGUCCUCAGAAUUGCUCCCUACACCCCGAAGGACCUCAGUUUCCUGAGCAGGUGAAGUCUGUUCUGACCUUUCUUACACCGUGCGUUGGUGUUCUAUCUCUAGACAUGUUUGAAUGUCUUUAUCAAUAAAUGCUCAAACACAUGUUGAGUGUCAGCUCAGCUCUUUGUUCCAUACAUGUAAAUG
Long non-coding RNA from Amphiprion ocellaris (clown anemonefish), 1258 nucleotides. The record is from Ensembl. NCBI's taxonomy places the organism in Eukaryota, Metazoa, Chordata, Actinopteri, Pomacentridae.